This 515-nucleotide long non-coding RNA is filed under the name Coffea arabica (coffee). RNAcentral describes it as "long non-coding RNA (CARA_LNC000172)". Lineage: Eukaryota; Viridiplantae; Streptophyta; Magnoliopsida; Gentianales; Rubiaceae. The record is from RNAcentral.
UACCCUCGAUGUUCGUGUAGGUUGACUUUCGCUACCCGAACAUAUAGUGCUUGCUCUGGACGACGAGCGUCGUCAGUUGGUGGAUGCAACCGUGAUUUACAGGCCGAGGUAGACGAGCUUAGGCAGAUGGUCGGCGCUCAGGGUGAGCGGAUUGCCGAACUUGAGGAGGUGCUGGAGGGUGAGGUAGCCACAUCUGCAGUGGUUAAUGAGGAGUUUCGGGAUACUAGGGCUCGACUUACUAGGCUAGGACGGGAUGUCCGUACUCGGGCUUUCGAGAUCUUGGUUGAUGCUACUAGUUUGGUUGAGGACGCUACUGAGGCGAUUCCUGACGAUGAGGAGGAGGAUCCGGAGGAGGAUCUCGAGGAGGAGGUUCCUCCUGAUAGCCCCGCUGUGGACUAGGAUCUUGGUCGUUGACCCUUUUGACUUUUGACUGGUAUAGUUAGGACUAGUUAGGGUGACGCGAGUGCUGAGGCCAUUGUAUUUUGCAUGCUUGUGUGGCCUACUUUUGGGCACUU